CGGGUGAGUAACGCGUGAGUAACCUGCCUUACACAAGGGGAUAGCCAUUGGAAACGACGAAUAAUACCCUAUGAAACUAUCACUUCGCAUGAAGCGAUAGUCAAAGUGUUAGCGGUGUAAGAUGGACUUGCGUCUGAUUAGCUAGUUGGUGAGAAAAAAGCCCACCAAGGCAACGAUCAGUAGCCGGCUUGAGAGAGUGUACGGCCACAUUGGGACUGAGACACGGCCCAG
Molecule: ribosomal RNA, 231 nt
Filed under: uncultured Eubacteriales bacterium
Lineage: Bacteria; Bacillati; Bacillota; Clostridia; Eubacteriales
Description: uncultured Clostridiales bacterium partial 16S ribosomal RNA
Rfam family: Bacterial small subunit ribosomal RNA
Source: RNAcentral